CAUUCAUCCUGAAUGGUUCAUGCAACGAUUAAGGUUAGGUAUUCAUCCUGAAUGGUUCAUGCAACGAUUAAGGUUAGUCAUUCAUCCUGAAUGGUUCAUGCAACGAUUAAGGUUAGGCAUUCAUCCUGAAUGGUUCAUGCAACGAUUAAGGUUUGGCAUUCAUCCUGAAUGGUUCAUGCAACGAUUAAGGUUAGGCAUUCAUUCUGAAUGGUUCAUGCAACGAUUAAGGUUUGGCAUAGGCUUAAAACAAAAUAUAAAAAACAACUUUAUAUCACUGGAUUCGAACAUGCAACCUUUGACCCUUUGGAACCACAGACAGAUGCUUAUGCUCAUCUACAAUGCCCUAGAAAAGCCAAAACCUACUUUACGGUAACAGCUGUUGGGCGGCACGGAGGGAGCCGGCUGUGGAGCGCACCACUGUUGGCCUGCACGGAGGGAGCCGGCUGUGGAGCGCACCACUGUUGGCCUGCACGGAGGGAGCCGGCUGUGGAGCGCACCACUGUUGGCCUGCACGGAGGGAGCCGGCCGUGGAGCGCACCACUGUUGGCCUGCACGGAGGGAGCCGGCCGUGGAGCGCACCACUGUUGGCCUGCAUGGAGGGAGCCGGGGCCAGGUUGGCACGUCAGAGAUGGAGGCUAGAGGCAGAGGCAAUAGGGUUAUGUAACCAGUCCUUCCUGUUGUGUCAGAACGACCGGGUGUGGUGGGGGGUCUGAGAGAGAGAAAGGGAGAGGGAACGAGGGCCUUUGUGGCUGAUUUUCUCUUAUUUCCGGCUCUUUUUUUUGCCCUUCCCUCCCUCCCCUCUUCCAUGCAUGUAGCGGUUGAUUGCACCACAGUAUCCCCAUCAGGCAACUUAAUGGCUGUAGAUGAGACAGCCCUAACUGUAGAGCCAUUUCCUGGCCACCUGAUAGCUGGAGACACGCAGCCAACCUGGGGGAAAGGGUUGAGGGGGACACCAACUAGGGCUGAGGGGGACACCAACUAGGGCUGGGAGAUAUCGUCAACAUUUUUGACGGUAUGAUGGCAUUUGAC
Oncorhynchus tshawytscha (Chinook salmon) is the source of this 1029-nucleotide long non-coding RNA. The record is from Ensembl. Lineage: Eukaryota; Metazoa; Chordata; Actinopteri; Salmoniformes; Salmonidae.